RNAcentral lists this long non-coding RNA (259 nucleotides) under Eucalyptus grandis. Its description in RNAcentral is "long non-coding RNA (EGRA_LNC001791)". The record is from RNAcentral. Lineage: Eukaryota; Viridiplantae; Streptophyta; Magnoliopsida; Myrtales; Myrtaceae.
GUCAUUCUAGUCAUUGCUAUACAGUCUCAACUGAUAAAACCAAUCACCAAGCCACGUGCAUUCUCCGAGGUGAUGGAACUGAUCACCGAGCCACGUGCAUUCUCCAAGGUAAUAUAUUAAUUUAUCGAGCCACGUGCAUUCUCCGAGGUGAUGUAGAACCUACAUUGAUCCACUAUACAAAAUGUCCAUUCUCCAAGAUGACGUACUUGGUCAUCGAGCCAGCAUACCUCUCACAUAUUCCCUUUCAUUUCCACAAUUU